Molecule: ribosomal RNA, 821 nt
Filed under: uncultured bacterium
Lineage: Bacteria
Description: bacterial SSU rRNA
Rfam family: Bacterial small subunit ribosomal RNA
Source: RNAcentral
AGAGUUUGAUCCUGGCUCAGGAUGAACGCUGGCGGCGUGCCUAAUACAUGCAAGUCGAACGCACAGCGAAAGGUGCUUGCACCUUUCAAGUGAGUGGCGAACGGGUGAGUAACACGUGGAUAACCUACCUCAAGGUUGGGGAUAACAUUUGGAAACAGAUGCUAAUACCGAAUAAAACUUCGUAUCGCAUGAUACAAGGUUAAAAGGCGCUACGGCGUCACCUAGAGAUGGAUCCGCGGUGCAUUAGUUAGUUGGUGGGGUAAAGGCCUACCAAGACAAUGAUGCAUAGCCGAGUUGAGAGACUGAUCGGCCACAUUGGGACUGAGACACGGCCCAAACUCCUACGGGAGGCUGCAGUAGGGAAUCUUCCACAAUGGGCGAAAGCCUGAUGGAGCAACGCCGCGUGUGUGAUGAAGGCUUUCGGGUCGUAAAGCACUGUUGUAUGGGAAGAACAGCUAGAGUAGGGAAUGACUUUAGUUUGACGGUACCAUACCAGAAAGGGACGGCUAAAUACGUGCCAGCAGCCGCGGUAAUACGUAUGUCCCGAGCGUUAUCCGGAUUUAUUGGGCGUAAAGCGAGCGCAGACGGUUGAUUAAGUCUGAUGUGAAAGCCCGGAGCUCAACUCCGGAGAGGCAUUGGAAACUGGUCAACUUGAGUGCAGUAGAGGUAAGUGGAACUCCAUGUGUAGCGGUGGAAUGCGUAGAUAUAUGGAAGAACACCAGCGGCGAAGGCGGCUUACUGGACUGUAACUGACGUUGAGGCUCGAUAAGUGUGGGUAGCAAACAGGAUUAGAUACCCUGGUAGUCCACACCGUAAACGAU